AUUGAACGCUGGCGGCAUGCCUUACACAUGCAAGUCGAACGGUAACGGGCCUUCGGGUGCCGACGAGUGGCGAACGGGUGAGUAGUACAUCGGAACGUGCCCGAUCGUGGGGGAUAACGAGGCGAAAGCUUUGCUAAUACCGCAUACGAUCUACGGAUGAAAGCAGGGGACCGCAAGGCCUUGCGCGGACGGAGCGGCCGCUGGCAGAUUAGGUAGUUGGUGGGUUAAAAGCUUACCAAGCCGACGAUCUGUAGCUGGUCUGAGAGGAUGAUCAGCCACACUGGGACUGAGACACGGCCCAGACUCCUACGGGAGGCAGCAGUGGGGAAUUUUGGACAAUGGGCGCAAGCCUGAUCCAGCCAUGCCGCGUGCAGGAUGAAGGCCUUCGGGUUGUAAACUGCUUUUGUACGGAACGAAAAGCCUUCUUUUAAUACAGGAGGGUCAUGACGGUACCGUAAGAAUAAGCACCGGCUAACUACGUG
RNAcentral lists this ribosomal RNA (482 nucleotides) under uncultured bacterium. RNAcentral's name for it is "partial 16S ribosomal RNA". It matches the Rfam family "Bacterial small subunit ribosomal RNA", at positions 30 to 507 of the family's 1533-position model. The record is from RNAcentral.